Molecule: transfer RNA, 74 nt
Filed under: Chloroflexi bacterium ADurb.Bin180
Lineage: Bacteria; Bacillati; Chloroflexota
Description: tRNA-Thr
Rfam family: tRNA
About the family: Transfer RNA (tRNA) molecules are approximately 80 nucleotides in length. Their secondary structure includes four short double-helical elements and three loops (D, anti-codon, and T loops).
Source: RNAcentral
GCCACCCUAGCUCAAUCGGUAGAGCAAUCGCUUCGUAAGUGAUGGGUUUCGAGUUCAAGUCUCGAGGGUGGCUC